GAAAACUGCAGUACCAGUCCAUUUGUGGGACGAUCAGAGGAGCAGCACCAGGGCCAUGUCUCUGUGCCUUGGAGGGACCUGCUGUGCCAUACAACCAGCACGUUUCCUCUACUGAUAUACAGAGUUCAUAUACAUACACAGACCUCCUACAGUGGCAGAGAAGUCAGAGCCAGGAGUGUGGCCGUGGUCCCAUCUGUCUUUAGGAGUGCAGAAGUUUGCAUUUAAGGCAGCUGGUAAUUUAGGAAAGAAGAUACAAAUUCUCCCGGAACACGGAGACAAAAAAUUCCCCCCCGUAGGUGACCGAUUACUGUGGUUUUCUCCAAGUUAAAAGAAGGUUUAAAUAUUGACUGUAGUGAAUUUAUGGACCUUUGUAUGGAAAAAAAAACUAUGCUUCUAUAAUCUUUAGACAGC
RNAcentral lists this long non-coding RNA (411 nucleotides) under Phasianus colchicus (ring-necked pheasant). Its description in RNAcentral is "lncRNA (ENSPCLG00000018678.1)". Lineage: Eukaryota; Metazoa; Chordata; Aves; Galliformes; Phasianidae. The record is from RNAcentral.